CUCAGGACCGCAACGGAGCCUAUUGUAUCAUGGGACACGCAUGGCUACUCUCUGGUCUUAGAGCGUCGGUGCGGACUUUCGCUCGGUGCUCUGUGCACCUAUUCCUCCCGCCUGCUCAAACUUCUUUCCUAUUUAUGAAGAGGGGGGCGUCCCAUCUCCCGGAAGCAAGGAGAUGCGAGAGGACGGCGCCGGUUUAGGUGCAGCUAAAGUUAAGCAAACUUAAUUCUAAGGAAUUACUCUCAAAACUUCUGCUACUAAAGAACAAGAGAAAUUGGUAGGGAAAUGGAAAGACAAAAGUUCUGAUGAUUUGCCCUUAAUUUCACCAAGUUAAGUCAACUUCAAGAGUCCUCUUGUCAGAAAGUCUAACACGGAUCGGUGGGGUCUUACUCCAUGAAUUUAUUCAAGGAACCUGGCUUCUUCUGUGUAGUGCUCUACCACCUUCAAGGCAGGUCGGGACACACAAGCCCAAGUUUUCUUCCUUCCCGGCGCCUGGUGCAGGUGAAGGAUCUGGAACCAGGCAGUCAAGAGGUGCGGAGAACACUGGGACGUGGCAGUUUUCCUUCGUGUUCGCGUAUGCUGCAGUAUGCCUACUGUCACGUUCAGUGAGCUGCGAACGCUGCAAGUCUGCCGGGUUUUUGUUUUGUUUUGUUUUGUUUUGUUUUUUAACAUCUUUAUUGGAGUAUAAUUGCUUUACAAUGUUGUGUUAGUUUCUGCUGUAUAACAAAGUGA
Non-coding RNA from Delphinapterus leucas (beluga whale), 729 nucleotides. NCBI's taxonomy places the organism in Eukaryota, Metazoa, Chordata, Mammalia, Artiodactyla, Monodontidae. The record is from RefSeq and is a predicted model, not a curated record.